RNAcentral lists this ribosomal RNA (497 nucleotides) under uncultured bacterium. RNAcentral's name for it is "partial 16S ribosomal RNA". It matches the Rfam family "Bacterial small subunit ribosomal RNA", at positions 28 to 507 of the family's 1533-position model. The record is from RNAcentral.
GAUGAACGCUGGCGGCGUGCCUAAUACAUGCCAGUCGAGCGAACAGACGAGGAGCUUGCUCCUCUGACGUUAGCGGCGGACGGGUGAGUAACACGUGGAUAACCUACCUAUAAGACUGGGAUAACUUCGGGAAACCGGAGCUAAUACCGGAUAACAUGUUGAACCGCAUGGUUUAACAGUGAAAGACGGUCUUGCUGUCACUUAUAGAUGGAUCCGCGCCGCAUUAGCUAGUUGGUAAGGUAACGGCUUACCAAGGCAACGAUGCGUAGCCGACCGGAGAGGGUGGUCGGCCACACUGGAACUGAGACACGGUCCAGACUCCUACGGGAGGCAGCAGUAGGGAAUCUUACGCAAUGGGCGAAAGCCUGACGGAGCAACGCCGCGUGAGUGAAGAAGGUCUUCGGAUCGUAAAACUCUGUUAUUAGGGAAGAACAAAUGUGUAAGUAACUAUGCACGUCUUGACGGUACCUAAUCAGAAAGCCACGGCUAACUACGUG